This 70-nucleotide transfer RNA is filed under the name Aparatermes sp. A TB-2017. RNAcentral describes it as "tRNA-Gln". Lineage: Eukaryota; Metazoa; Arthropoda; Insecta; Blattodea; Termitidae. The record is from RNAcentral.
UACAUCUUGGUGUAUGAUGCACAACAGCUUUUGAUGCUUGUAGGCAAUAGUUUGAUUCUAUUUGAUGUAA